CAGGCAAAUAAUUCACAAAAUAUAUAUGUAUGCAUAUUUAUAUGCACAUACAACAUAUACACAUACAUAUAUACAGCGCGCAGGAAGCCAAGUAAAAUAUAUUGCGAGUGAACUUCUUUUGUUGCUCGGCUAGACGCUUAGUCGCUGUGUGCGAGCGAGACGGCGAACGGGCUAAAGCAAUGGCGACAAUUUGUUAAAUUGUUAUUGUUAUUUCUAUGUUAAAUGCUCCACUGCCCUCACAAUGGCCACCCAAAGGGAAAAUACACUUACAAUACCAACACCCUCACACUCACACAGAAACAACCACCCAUCCACACUCAUACACCCACCACACCCCAACUCACCAAUUUCACCACCCAACUGCUGCUGCACGUAGCGUCGAUCUGCAUAAAUUAUGUGAAAUGUAUAAGGACAACAGAACACAGCCUCUGGCAGCUAGAAAAACUUAUUACGCAAAACAAAUAUUGUACAUCCAUUUUCAUUUUCAUUUUAUUGUUCAGUUUUAGCCAUUUUAUUUUCGGCCACUGACCCACCAAAGGAGGAGGGGUGGGUUUUCCGCCGUAAUCGCAGUUCCUGCAGGUGGCUACUUAGGGAGUUUCCCCGAAUGCAGGGAAAAACUGCAGUGGCCAAGGUGGGAAUACAAUAAAGAAAUGGGUCUGAAAAGGGAAAAGCUUGUUACCAAAUGAAAAGUAUAUGAAUAAAAGAUUUUACGGAGGUAAGCAGAGAAAUUCUCAGUAACCAGUUGCCUAAAUGAAUAAAAGUAGAAAGUCUUAGAGAAACUGUCAUAGUUUGUCGCGUAUUUAAAAUUCUGAAAAAUGGUAUAGAACCAUGAAAAGUGCAACCUAAGUUUCCAACUGUUUAAACCGUGAAAUAUCAAAAUGUAGAGCAGUUUACUUACGGAACGAUAACGAUUUGUUUACACAGCGUGUGUGGAAAAUGUACGGCGAACAAUGGGAAAAUAAAUUGCAUUCACAUUCGCGGCGCCCUGCCAAUUACCGUAAAGAGCGCAUAAAUUGGGGGAUUGGGUGGAUUGGAUUGGUUUGCAUUGGAUUGGACUGGGUUAAGUGGGCUUGUUGUGUUGGUUGUGGGUCAUCCAGCCAGUCAUUCCACAUGUCACAUUCUUGCACGGCAUAUGACUGACCAUUUCCGCACUCAAACCCCACGAUUUUCCACGGCUUGUCAUGGGAUAUGAGUAUAUAUAUGGCUAUAUGCAUGUGCUGCGGGCAGGGAAAUCGAGUUCAAGUGAACUCAGUCAGUUGGCCGGAGCCUUGGAUUUUCAUUAGCCCCACAAAAGAGCCAUAACAGCAACGGCAACAAUGUCCAUAAACAGAGCAAAAGCCAAUUCCGAUUCGUGUGAAGUUCUUUGCAAGCUACGAGCCUUAGUGGCCAGUUCCCAAUUCAACGCCCCCGAGAAGGCAAAAAAAAAGGUGACCAAAGUUAGCGGGAACUUAACUUUCCGGGCAACCCACUGCCCACUGCCCACCGCCACCCAAAACGAAAUGGCCAUACAAAUUGAUUUUCCCACACCUCGCGGAAAACUCCUCCGCACGCCAAGUUGGUUUUCUUCGCCUCCUUUUUUUUUGGCUACAUUUCGAUUCGUUUCUGAUAAUGCUAAAGCGAAAGUCGCGCAAUGAAAUAGAAUCAUCCACCAGUUGAAGUUCAGGUUCCUUUUACGGCCUUCUCGACCUUUUCCCAUUCGAAAUCUCUUUGGGCAAGCACAUGUCAAUUAUGUGAACAGGUCUGCUUCGAAACAUCCCAAAGUCAGUCAGUCAGUCAGUUGGUCAGUUAGUCAGUUACUCAUUCGGUUGGCAAGUCCGCAAGUAACAAAUCAAUUAGCCCGGAAAGGAUAACAUAUGACUCCUGGGCGGAUGUGAAGUUCGGAACGGAGUUUCGUCUGACGUGGAACAGAUUAAUGCUGACUCCUCUCGACUCUGGCCAUUAAUCCCAGCGUUUGACAGCUGCGGAUUAAUUCAAUGAGCUCGUGGCGGAUUAAUCGAAUAAAUCCAGUUUUAUCACAUGAACAAAUGGUAAUUAAUUGGAAGUUCUAAACGUAAGAUAUAAAUGAAAUUAUUGCUUUAAUGUAGCCUCUUAUCACAGCGUUUUAAUUCAAAUAUUUCAGAUAAGAGCGCCUGCAGCUUUCAAUUGAUAUGCGAUAAGCCAUCGGAAGUAUGGGACAAAUAUUUCAAUGGUAUUGUUUUACAACUGGAAUUGAUUUUGACCUCAGGCUCCAUGGUUAAUUAUAACAAAAUAUUGAUGUAAUAAAGCAGAGGCAAUGUAAACCACUCACACGUAUGAAAGUCAAUCCCACACACUUAAACAAAGACAAACACAAACACACAGUGACAAAGACAAACAGCGAGUGACAAGUUUCGGUUGUCAGGUGCAAUUUGCUGUGAAAGGACGAAGGACCCAAUCGAUCGAUCGAUGAGAGUGCUUAAUUGUUGGCCCGCAAUUCGUGGGCCUUGUGGAAGUGAGCCUCUGUCCAUACAUUACGCAUUCAUCCAUUUAUAUUGACACUUGUUCGGGCUUAAAAAUUAAUCAGCGAUGAGGCGAGUUUCCACUUUCAAUCUGCACAUUCAUCACAUUUUACAGGGCACUCGGCCGCCCACCUUGUUCAAUUAUUUAGGAGCGAAUUGCAGGAAGAUAGCUGGGGGAAAAGCUACUUAGCGGUUUAGCCAUGGUCCAUGGUUCGUGGACCAUCCAACAGCAGGGUAGUGACGACAAAUGGUCAUUGUGAAUUCAUGUUGGUCUCGACACGUGCCAAAUGUCCGGCAAGGUCAAGAGAUUUAUGCUGAGGAAAAGGACACUGGCAGGACACGAAUGGCCAAGCUAACCCCAAAGGGUUAUGGACACGUUCGCCACUCUGGUUAAUUCAUUAGCUCGGGUCUUAUCUCUGAUUAUGGCAAUUAAAUGCUUCCCAAUCCCCUUGAUCUGUGGCCAGUUUCAAUUCGUUGGUCUCAAUUUACCCCGGAAUUAUCAUCGGAGUGCUGCACUCGCCUCCAUUUCGAUUCGAUCAUCCUCUGCUGAAUCCGGCUCAUUCCGAAGGAUUCAUUGUUUGUUUUAUUAAGCCCAAUUAGUGCGUCUGCCAUCCCCACCAUGUCUCCCCCAAAUGAUUGCGUCUGAUGCAAUCCGAUUGGCUUUCAAUUAAUUGACAAGCCAUCAUAAUUGAUGCUCUGCUCACAUGGCUUCGCAUUUAUUAAACAACUGUGAGGGGCGACCGAAAUUAACUUAUAGGCUGUCAUGGAUGUUUUCCGGUAUUAACUAUGGUACAUAUUCAGUCAAUCGAUUUCCCAUGUGUUUUCACAUGCAAAUUGUGUGGCAAAAAAUUGAUUUAUAUUCGGUUAAACAGCAGAGAUUUUUAUCCUAACUCAGUGGCACAAUUUAAUUAGGUUUCUUAUUUACAAAAAUGUAUUUACACUGCAUAGAUCCAAAAAUUCCCUAAAAUAUUUUAUAAAUUUUUAAUAUUGCCAAGAAACAAGUAUGUUUUUUUGUUAUUAACAUUAUCCGACUUUUAUGCCCUCCGAAAACGUCUUUAAACUGAAAAAAUCAUUCAUUCGUUUGACAUUCAGUUGAUGGCUGUCAUCAUGCUUAAAAAUCAGCGAUAAAUUUAAAUCAAUGGCUCAAUAAGAAUGAUUUAAUUGCCUUUUCAUUUGGUUGGCCCGUCGAGUGUCUGGCGAGCUGUUAAAAUUCAAAUUGAAAGUCCGAACGUGACCGAAAAUGUGAAAUUAUGCCGAUGCGAAAGGCGGCUCGACUCGACUUUAAUAGGCAAUUUGCAGUCGUAAUCCAAAUGCAGGCAGUUGGCAAAGUCACGCACAGUCUAAGGAUAACAAUAAUGGCCGAGGAUUCGGCCGCAGGACAACGAAAUUAUUUUACACAUUCAAGGCGGCGAUAAAGCGCGCUCUCCCCCCCUCCGCAGUCAAAUGCAACUGGGCUAAAAUAUUAGUGGCUUAAAUGCCAGGGCUUAAUGGCCAAUAAAUCGAUUUGCUUUCGGCAGCCAAAGGGACGCACUGCAGCCAAGGCUUGGCCACCAAUUUUGGAUGGGCUGAGCUGAAACGGGGGGUCCUGUGCUUAUCGGCACGCAUGCACGCAGCUGGCGGCAAUUUGGAUACAAAGAUAAAACAUUUAUUGGCCACAUAAAACGGGUGAAAUUACCAAGGACCCGCCAGCUCCACCAGCUCCACAAUGGCCACAUCCACGUCCUGUUCUCCCAUCCGGCAUUUUGAGUUCGAUUCGGAUGCGGGGAUCGCCUUUGUAAUUUCACUCUGCUGUCGCACGAGCGGCAAAUCAAUUUCAGUCUUUGCCUUACGGAACUGCCACGUUUUGGGUCCACAAAUUAGACAAAUGAUUUGGUGCACUUGUCAUAAAACUGCCAAAGGGAUUGCCUUUGUCCUGCCUCCAAAUGGACCCAACUCUUUCUCUGCCUUGGAGCUCGAUUUUGAAAACCCUAUGCCAAGUAAAAACCAUGGCUUUCCAUGUAUUAACUGCAACCUUGUUAAAAUAAGUGACAUAUGGUCAAUAUUGAGCUUGUUUUGAGCAUAUUUUGAGGCCAUAAAUUUAAUAUAUUCAAAAAAAUGUAGUACAUAAUUCACAUAUGAAAAUAUUUCCAGUUCAAUGCUUUUGUGUGACAUCAGGAAUCUGUGCGAAAUCUUAACCUUUGUCAUCGUAGGUGCCCUUUGUCAUGUUUUCCAUCCAUUUGUUGGGUUCUUUCAAAUUUAUCAUUACGCGGAAACUUCAAAAAGCACGAGGCGGAAACUUUUCUUUCCGAGCGGUGCAGAAAAGAGAGCGAAAAAAGUCUAAUUAAAUAAAUUACAAAAUGCUUUGCCAGCGACAACAAUUCAUUAAAAAAGAACGAAAGACAAAGGCAGCCCAGUUGGUUUGGGUUUUUGUUCGGCUCAAAAAAAAAAAACAAACAAAAAGUUGAGGCAUUCUGCCAGACGAGCGUCGAGAUGCGUUUAGCACGGCUUCAGGACGAAGGGACGAAGGACUACAGGACGACAGGACGACAGGACUUGGCUGGCUGGCAAAUUAAAAGCCGACUGCGAAGGCGCCCAUAAAUCUCAGCCAGCAGAUUGCCUUGGCCGCAGAGCACUAGCAUGGACACGAAACGAUGUCGACUUAUUUGCAUGUUUGUCACUGGCUUUUUACCAUUUUCCCCCCUUUUUUUUAUUUUUUUUUUAUUUCAGUUGUUGGGUGCUUUUAGUUUCCGGCGCGUUGCACUUGGAGCUCGUUGGCUGCCGCACAAAGUUGCCGCACAGACAAACAAUGCCGAAUCGCGGGGGCGGCUUGCUUUCAAAUUGCGUUGAAAGCGCCCGAAUGCCCCAUUUUGCUGCUGCUGCUGUUGCUAUUGUUGUUGUAGCUGCUGGCGUGGGGAAAAGGCCAGCAAAAAAUAGCGAAUAAAAAAAUGAAGUCGACCAAAAAAAAGGGAGGCAGCACAAAAAAAAAAAUAAAGAACUAGAUGUGACACGAACAACGGCAAGCGACAACGUUCCGGAACAGAAACGGAAAUUGUGAAAUAUACAAAUGUUCGUCUUGUUUAGGAAUGCUUCUACAUUAGAAACACGCACAUCAACUAUUUCUCGCAGUGUAAGCCCAAGUGGGACCGCCUCCAGAGUUUCGCGGACAAGGGUAUAAGGAACGCUUUGUAAUAAAAAUAUAUGGAUCUGGCUCGGACAACGGCAACAUGUCACAUUGUUAAAAAAAAGACACAAAAAUCGGAAACGAAGGGCGGCUGGGCGGCAGAAGUGCACAGAAUGGAGAAAUCCCGACAAUUUGUUGCCGGGCGUUAAACGCUGGAAUAUCCGGUGAAACACGCUUAUUAAAACGGUAGCAUUUAGGCCGGUUCACACCCCACUUUGUCCGCAGGGAUAACAAAUUGGAAGGACAACAAAUAAGGCAGCAGGAGCAAGCCGAUCGUGUAAUGAAUGUAAAAGGAGACUUCGGGCACAAAAAAAAGGUCAACCAUUGUUCUCAAUUGCACACAGCUUUUGUCAAUUUAGGCUAAAGAGGGGAAAAAAUUGACUCGAAUAUAUUAUUUAAAUUUGUGUUUACAUUUUAAUGCUUUAAAAAAAUGCACUCGAGUGUUUUGUGGAUAUUAAAAAAAUUAAUAUAUAAAAA
Long non-coding RNA from Drosophila mauritiana, 6114 nucleotides. RefSeq lists it as uncharacterized. NCBI's taxonomy places the organism in Eukaryota, Metazoa, Arthropoda, Insecta, Diptera, Drosophilidae. The transcript is spliced from 3 exons. The record is from RefSeq and is a predicted model, not a curated record.